RNAcentral lists this ribosomal RNA (121 nucleotides) under Otolemur garnettii (small-eared galago). The record is from RNAcentral. Lineage: Eukaryota; Metazoa; Chordata; Mammalia; Primates; Galagidae.
ACUGACCCUGAAUGCACCUGAUUUCAUCUGAUCUCAGAAGCCAACCAGGGAUGGGCCUGGUUAGUACUUAGAUAGGAAAUAAAACCAAAACUAGCUUAAGCUGAAAGGGAGAUUUUUGGCA